RNAcentral lists this ribosomal RNA (505 nucleotides) under Escherichia coli. RNAcentral describes it as "bacterial SSU rRNA". It matches the Rfam family "Bacterial small subunit ribosomal RNA", at positions 1017 to 1522 of the family's 1533-position model. The record is from RNAcentral. Lineage: Bacteria; Pseudomonadati; Pseudomonadota; Gammaproteobacteria; Enterobacterales; Enterobacteriaceae.
CCUUCGGGAACUGUGAGACAGGUGCUGCAUGGCUGUCGUCAGCUCGUGUUGUGAAAUGUUGGGUUAAGUCCCGCAACGAGCGCAACCCUUAUCCUUUGUUGCCAGCGGUCCGGCCGGGAACUCAAAGGAGACUGCCAGUGAUAAACUGGAGGAAGGUGGGGAUGACGUCAAGUCAUCAUGGCCCUUACGACCAGGGCUACACACGUGCUACAAUGGCGCAUACAAAGAGAAGCGACCUCGCGAGAGCAAGCGGACCUCAUAAAGUGCGUCGUAGUCCGGAUUGGAGUCUGCAACUCGACUCCAUGAAGUCGGAAUCGCUAGUAAUCGUGGAUCAGAAUGCCACGGUGAAUACGUUCCCGGGCCUUGUACACACCGCCCGUCACACCAUGGGAGUGGGUUGCAAAAGAAGUAGGUAGCUUAACCUUCGGGAGGGCGCUUACCACUUUGUGAUUCAUGACUGGGGUGAAGUCGUAACAAGGUAACCGUAGGGGAACCUGCGGUUGGA